GCCUAACACAUGCAAGUCGAACGGUAGCACAGGGAGCUUGCUCUCGGGUGACGAGUGGCGGACGGGUGAGUAAUGUCUGGGAAACUGCCCGAUGGAGGGGGAUAACUACUGGAAACGGUAGCUAAUACCGCAUAACGUCUUCGGACCAAAGUGGGGGUCCUUCGGGCCUCACACCAUCGGAUGUGCCCAGAUGGGAUUAGCUAGUAGGUGGGGUAACGGCUCACCUAAGCGACGAUCCCUAGCUGGUCUGAGAGGAUGACCAGCCACACUGGAACUGAGACACGGUCCAGACUCUUACGGGAGGCAGCAGUGGGGAAUAUUGCACAAUGGGCGCAAGCCUGAUGCAGCCAUGCCGCGUGUAUGAAGAAGGCCUUCGGGUUGUAAAGUACUUUCAGUGGGGAAGAAGGCGAAGAGGUUAAUAACCUUUUCGAUUGACGUUACCUGCAGAAGAAGCACCGG
This 459-nucleotide ribosomal RNA is filed under the name Candidatus Erwinia dacicola. Its description in RNAcentral is "bacterial SSU rRNA". It matches the Rfam family "Bacterial small subunit ribosomal RNA", at positions 46 to 496 of the family's 1533-position model. The record is from RNAcentral. Lineage: Bacteria; Pseudomonadati; Pseudomonadota; Gammaproteobacteria; Enterobacterales; Erwiniaceae.